GCAGGGAUGGCAGAGUGGUCAAUUGCAUUUGGCUGUAAACCAAACGACUUUAGUCUACGCAGGUUCGAAUCCUGCUCCCUGCA
Molecule: transfer RNA, 83 nt
Filed under: bacterium
Lineage: Bacteria
Description: tRNA-Tyr
Rfam family: tRNA
About the family: Transfer RNA (tRNA) molecules are approximately 80 nucleotides in length. Their secondary structure includes four short double-helical elements and three loops (D, anti-codon, and T loops).
Source: RNAcentral